GAUGAACGCUGGCGGCGUGCCUAACACAUGCAAGUCGAACGAAAAGACCAGGAGCUUGCGCCCUUGACGUUAGCGGCGGACGGGUGAGUGAGACGUACAUAACCUUCACAUUAGACUGGGAUAACUACGUGAAACCGGAUCCACUACCGGAUCAUAUGUUGAACGGCAUGGGUCAGUAGUGAUAGACGGUUUUGGUGUUACUCAUAGCUGAUUCCGUGUCGCAUUGGCUAGUUGGUAAGGUAACGGCUUACCAAGGCGACGAGCCGUAGCCGAACUGAGAGGGUGAUCGGCCACACUGGAACGGAGACACGGUCCAGACUCCUACGGGAGGCAGCAGUAGGGAAUGUUAGGCAAUGGGCGAAAGCCUGACCCAGCAACGCCGCGUGAGUGAAGAAGGCCUUCGGAUCGUAAAGCCCUGUUAUUGGGGAAGAACAGAUGUAUAAGUAAACGAGGACGUCUUGACGGUACCUAAUAAAAAAGCAACGGCUAACUACGUG
Molecule: ribosomal RNA, 497 nt
Filed under: uncultured bacterium
Lineage: Bacteria
Description: partial 16S ribosomal RNA
Rfam family: Bacterial small subunit ribosomal RNA
Source: RNAcentral